UUCUUGCAGUACUUACAAUGGACAUUUCUGAGCAUAACUAAUCUCUUUUUUUUUUUAUUUUGGUCCUAUUCGCAUCAGCACCAAUCCAGUGCUUUGAAAUGAAUUCAAAUGCUGUGCUCUUUGAAGGGAUGAGGAUUAAAGCUUAAGCUGGGUCCAGGGAUGAGGUGAGAGGAAAAAACCCUCACAAAUCCGAUGCUUUUUUUCCUCCUAAGAAGUGAAAAGCAAUGAGCUGUACUAUAUAAAAGAAAGGAAACGGUUGCGUUUCAUCCUUUCCAAAGACCUCAAAAGCUACUAGAUUAUCAUUAAAAAAUAAACACAUUUUCAAAGGCCAUUAGCCCGAGGGGAGGUCCUGAGUCGUCCAAAGGUUCUCCAGCGGGCAAGCAAGAAAGACAGCACUCCUGCCCCGAUCCGUACACACUGGAGCAUCCAGGGCUGAAUUUCUUUCCAAUGGAAGUUGUUAUUUGAAUCUAGAAGUGUUGCUAAAAUGGAUUCAUCAAGCCAUUUUUUAGUGGAAAGGGCUUCAUGGAUGAUGACCUGCUGGAAGUUGGCCGACAGCUGAAAGGAAGAACGACCCUGUUCAGUCCUGCUCAUUAUGCCUGCCAGAGAUCAAGAACACCUUGACCAAUCAGGAGAGGGGAUCUUCAUACAAGGAAAGGGGACUUUUGUACAAGGAGAGGGGACCUUUAUUCACCUUCCUGUACUCUUUCUUCCAAGCUAGUUUUUAACUUCAGGAAAGUAUCACUCUUCUGUGGCUGCUUAAUAUUUAAUUGGCUAUGUAAUAUGGCUAUGUAAUAUUUAAAUGUAGCCAAGUGUUUAGGGAUGAAGGUCUCUGACUCUGCCCCUCACCACACUUGGGACCUUAGGAAAGUUAUUUAACUUCUUUAACCAUCAUUUGUAAACUAUGUUUGUUGGAAGGAAUAAUUCUGUUUUUAAUGUAUAAAGUACAUAGUAUGGGACCUAUAAUAUAAGAGGUGUUCAAUAAAAAGUUAUUGUUAUCGUUACUAAGAUUUUUUAUACUUAACAACCACAUAGAAAUGUCAUGUUGUCUGAUUUGUUCACUGCUGUAUUCCCUGGGUCAGUGCCUGAUGUUUAGUAGAUACUACUAAAUAAAUGCUAA
Equus quagga is the source of this 1117-nucleotide long non-coding RNA. RefSeq lists it as uncharacterized. The record is from RefSeq and is a predicted model, not a curated record. NCBI's taxonomy places the organism in Eukaryota, Metazoa, Chordata, Mammalia, Perissodactyla, Equidae. The transcript is spliced from 3 exons.